AUGCGGAACGGGGAAAAGGAGCAACUUUGCUGCCCGGCAAAGCGUGCUGUGCUGCGACACAUGCGUCCAUGUGAUGCCAUCUGCCCAACCAACCAUCACCAACUGUUACUGUGGUGCAGCGUGCAGAGAACAAGAUCCAUGGAUGGACAACUCCAACCAGACACUGCUGGCAUAUGUGUACUGCAACUGCAAGCAAUAAUAUGUAAACACUGGAACAGCAAGGUAGUGUGCAACAAUCUGUCAUCAUCAAGCUCAAGGAACCAUAAUACCAUUUGCAGAUCGACAGCAACGGCUAGUGAAAGAAGAAGAAAGAAACUAGUGGUGCUCGCAUUUCAUUUCACAUCAUGA
This 348-nucleotide ribosomal RNA is filed under the name Triticum aestivum (bread wheat). Its description in RNAcentral is "partial small subunit ribosomal RNA". Lineage: Eukaryota; Viridiplantae; Streptophyta; Magnoliopsida; Poales; Poaceae. The record is from RNAcentral.